Long non-coding RNA from Gymnogyps californianus (California condor), 759 nucleotides. RefSeq lists it as uncharacterized. The record is from RefSeq and is a predicted model, not a curated record. The transcript has 4 exons. NCBI's taxonomy places the organism in Eukaryota, Metazoa, Chordata, Aves, Accipitriformes, Cathartidae.
GGCCGGCAGGACAACAAAUUGUAUUUCUGCUCCAAGAAGUAUAGAAGGGGAUUGCCAGUGAGAUCUGCUCUCUACAGACCUACAGCAAUUCUUCUGGAGACCUCCUCUCCAAAUGCGGAAUAGUUUUGCAAGGGAUUGACGGCGAUUGCCAAAACCUCUCUGCCCUAAAGCCAGCAAGUGGAAACGUUUCCGUUUCUCCUCUGGAUCUGACCCGAAGUCCCGGGACCCGAUGCCAUUCUGAAGAUUUAUUAGUGAAUCCUUCAUCUGCAAGACAAGAAAUUUCUCCACUGUGAUGCUACCCUAGAGACUUCUCUCCUUGACGUGCAUGGACCCCAUGAGGUGACAGAGAAGCUGCGGUAUCCUGCGAAUAGCCCUUGGGACCUGCUGCCCACCGCUACGUCAGAAGAUGGAUCUAAAGGGAGACAGCAGCGGAGGUGACGCACCUGAUGGACUACAGUGGAACCAGACAUGCUGUGUCAGCCCUUGAUACAAGGCUUUCUCUGUAUUAUGAGUAAUAGCAGCACUGGCGCUCUUUUUAAUGGCAGGUAAGUGUAGGUAUCAAGCCCCUCCCUUCAGGCCCAAGUAAUCCUCCAGAACAGGGCUGGAGGCUGCUGAGUGGAGCAGCAUCAGGACAGAUGCCAGCACUCGAGGCGCUGACAGCAGGAUCACCGGGACUGGCUGCCCAGAGCUGCCCCGCAGGGCCACGUGACAGGCCACGGGUAGGUACCAGCGGUGAGCCUGGCGAGGAGGUGGAGCUCG